AGAACCUGAUGUGGUGAACAUCCCAGUCCUGUCCGGACCCUGCCAUGGGCACCAGGCUCCUCUGCUGCGUGGCCCUCUGUCUUCUGGGGGCAGGCCACACAGGAGCUGGCGUUAUCCAGUCCCCCUGGCACAAGGUCACAAAGAGGGGCUGGGAUGUGACCUUCAGGUGUGAUCCAAUUUCUGGUCACACUGGCCUUUAUUGGUACCGACAGGCCAGAGGGCAAGGCCCAGAGUUUUUAAUUUACUUCCGAAACAAGGACAAAGUAGACACAACAGGGAUGCCCAACAAUGAUAGAUUCCAGGCGAACAGGUCGGAGGGGACCUACUCCACUCUGCAGAUCCAGCGAGCAGAGCCGGGGGACUCGGCUGUGUACCUCUGUGCCAGCAGCCCUACCACAGUGGGGCACAGCUGCCGCCUUCCUCUGCACAAACCUCAGACUUCUCUCUCCCUGCUGCAGCCGGAGGCCCUAAACAUGUCCGUGCUCUUCGUUCCCAAUAAAAAGGAGUAG
Molecule: non-coding RNA, 509 nt
Organism: Suricata suricatta (meerkat)
Lineage: Eukaryota; Metazoa; Chordata; Mammalia; Carnivora; Herpestidae
Source: the annotation of a RefSeq genome assembly